GUAAACCCAAGGUUUCCAGGGGAAGGUUCGUCCGCCCUGGGUUAGUCGGGACCUAAGCUGAGGCCGAAAGGCGUAGGUGAUGGACAACAGGUUGAUAUUCCUGUACUACCGAUAACCGUUUGAGAGAUGGGAUGACACAGUAGGAUAAGCUAAGCACACUGUUGGUUAUGUGUGCCCAAGCAUUGAGGCAGUCAAAGUAGGCAAAUCCGCUUUGAUAAUGCUGGGAUGUGAUGGGGAGCGAAAUUUAGUAGCGAA
This 255-nucleotide ribosomal RNA is filed under the name Clostridioides difficile. Its description in RNAcentral is "partial 23S ribosomal RNA". It matches the Rfam family "Bacterial large subunit ribosomal RNA", at positions 1339 to 1589 of the family's 2925-position model. Lineage: Bacteria; Bacillati; Bacillota; Clostridia; Peptostreptococcales; Peptostreptococcaceae. The record is from RNAcentral.